Molecule: ribosomal RNA, 377 nt
Filed under: uncultured eukaryote
Lineage: Eukaryota
Description: partial 18S ribosomal RNA
Rfam family: Eukaryotic small subunit ribosomal RNA
Source: RNAcentral
CAAUAGCGUAUAUUAAAGUUGUUGCAGUUAAAAAGCUCGUAGUUGGAUUUCGGGGCAGCCUGGCUGGUCCGCCGCAAGGCGAGUACUGGUCAGCCGCCCUUCCUCUCGAAAGCCCCGACUGCUCUUUAUUGCAGUGGUCGGGUAGUUCGGGACGUUUACUUUGAAAAAAUUAGAGUGUUCAAGGCAGGCCUACGCCUGAAUACAUUAGCAUGGAAUAACGGAAGAGGACCUCGGUCCUAUUUUGUUGGUUUCCAGGACCGAAGUAAUGAUUAAGAGGGACAGUUGGGGGCAUUCGUAUUUAAUUGUCAGAGGUGAAAUUCUCGGAUUUAUGAAAGACGAACAACUGCGAAAGCAUUUGCCAAGGAUGUUUUCAUUAA